Molecule: long non-coding RNA, 476 nt
Organism: Ictalurus punctatus (channel catfish)
Lineage: Eukaryota; Metazoa; Chordata; Actinopteri; Siluriformes; Ictaluridae
Source: Ensembl
CCCGGUCAAAAGUAUGGUGAAGUUUUCUUCUUCAGGACAUGAGUUUGCGUUUUGUGGUUUAACAAAGAGAAAGAGAGAGACUGGUCCCCCUUGUGCCACCAAAACAGCUCUGAACCGUCGAGGCAUGGACUCCACAAGUCCCUGGAUGGUGUGUUGUGAAUCAGACCGACUGAAUGAAAUAGCUGGUGAUCAACCUGACCACACACACGAUGCCCAAAGUCCCCAAGCUGGAUGUUUGCACAGGAAACGGUAGCUGGGUCAUGGGGGCAGGAAGGUGAGACGGUCAGUUCAGACUUACCUAUCCCCAGCCACAGAUUCCAGCUCCUCCUGGAGGAUCCCCAGAUGUUUCCAAGAUAACUGUAAUACAUGCACAUCUUGCCAGCAGGACUGCCUUGGGGUACUGAUCAUGUGGAAUUUGCCUGAUAUAGCUCUAGUACCAGAGCCAUCCAUGGGGCAUCCUUUUAAGAUGCCCAAAG